UUGGCGGUGGGGUCGAUCUGGCGGGUGACCACCAGGUAGUUACGCAGCGCGAUGGCGUGCAGGUGUUC
RNAcentral lists this small RNA (68 nucleotides) under Mycobacterium sp. 283mftsu. Its description in RNAcentral is "ASdes TB sRNA". It matches the Rfam family "ASdes TB sRNA". Lineage: Bacteria; Bacillati; Actinomycetota; Actinomycetes; Mycobacteriales; Mycobacteriaceae. The record is from RNAcentral.